CUGCCUAAGUUCAACCCCAACAAGAUUAAUGUUGCAAACCUUAGGUGUACCGAUGGGGAAGUCAGUGCCAUUUCUGCCCCGGCUCCUAAGAUCAAGCCCCUGAGUCCAUCUCCAAAAAUGGCUGGCAAUGACAUCACCAAGUUAAUGGGUGACUAGAAGGGUUUCAGGAUUACAGUGACAUUGACCCUUCAGAAUAGACAGACUCAGGUUGAACUGGGACCUUUUGCCUCUGUCCUGAUGUUACAGGCCCUCAAGGAACCUCCAAGAGAUAGAAACAAAAAUAUUAAACACAGUGGAAAUGUCACUUUUGAUGAGAUAAUCAACAUUGCCCAACAGGUGUGGCACCAGUCUUUGGCCAGAACCAUUAAAGAGAUCUUGGGGAUUGCCCAGGCUGUGGGCUGCAAUGUUGAUUGUCACCCGCCCUCAUGACAUCAUAGAUGACAUCAACAAUGGUGCAGCAGAAUGUUCCACUAGUUAA
This 478-nucleotide long non-coding RNA is filed under the name Homo sapiens (human). Its description in RNAcentral is "non-protein coding lnc-ZMYM1-1:1". Lineage: Eukaryota; Metazoa; Chordata; Mammalia; Primates; Hominidae. The record is from RNAcentral.